UGGGGAAUAUUGCACAAUGGGCGCAAGCCUGAUGCAGCCAUGCCGCGUUUAUGAAGAAGGCCUUCGGGUUGUAAAGUACUUUCAGUCGGGAGGAAGGUGGUAAGGUUAAUAACCUUAUCAAUUGACGUUACCGACAGAAGAAGCACCGGCUAACUCCGUGCCAGCAGCCGCGGUAAUACGGAGGGUGCAAGCGUUAAUCGGAAUUACUGGGCGUAAAGCGCACGCAGGCGGUUGAUUGAGUCAGAUGUGAAAUCCCCGGGCUUAACCCGGGAAUUGCAUCUGAUACUGGUCAGCUAGAGUCUUGUAGAGGGGGGUAGAAUUCCAUGUGUAGCGGUGAAAUGCGUAGAGAUGUGGAGGAAUACCGGUGGCGAAGGCGGCCCCCUGGACAAAGACUGACGCUCAGGUGCGAAAGCGUGGGGAGCAAACAGG
This 429-nucleotide ribosomal RNA is filed under the name Chloroflexota bacterium. RNAcentral's name for it is "Chloroflexi bacterium partial 16S ribosomal RNA". It matches the Rfam family "Bacterial small subunit ribosomal RNA", at positions 355 to 776 of the family's 1533-position model. The record is from RNAcentral. Lineage: Bacteria; Bacillati; Chloroflexota.